Silurus meridionalis is the source of this 673-nucleotide long non-coding RNA. RefSeq lists it as uncharacterized. NCBI's taxonomy places the organism in Eukaryota, Metazoa, Chordata, Actinopteri, Siluriformes, Siluridae. The record is from RefSeq and is a predicted model, not a curated record. The transcript has 3 exons.
UGCUGACUGGUGGACCCUCGCUCCCUCGCUCCUUUACUCCAGACAAAGAAAGGGGAUCUGGAGAUGCGCAAGCACGCAGGUCCCCCAGGCUACACGCCCCAGCCCUCCCCUUUCAGGUGCACUUAAUAUCUGCAGCAGCAGCAAAUUUGUCUUGGAGGCAAGUCCUUAGCUGCCACUCACUGUAAGCAGGCCAUAUUAAAUUUUUAUAUUUAUUGACAAUUCAUUACCAUAAUUGACUGUGCCAGAGUUUUUUUUUCGUUUUUUUUUUUUUCCUGCAGGUGGGUAGACGGCCCCGGCCCCCGAAGAGCACCGAGGGCUCCCCGGGAGGUGGAUUUGCAAUUAAAAAAUGCAGGCUCUUUCAACACCAGCUGUUCAUUAAGCCGAAAUAUGCAAAUCAGACGCAGCCUCCCGCAUGGACCCUGUUGCUCUCGGUCAGCCCUCACUACACGACGCGACCACACACCAUACACACACUGAACCCAGACAUCAGCUCGCAGCGAGGCUUAAAUUCUGUAUCUUUAUAUCUUUAGAAUCACCGCCAUCUUUAAAACAGUGGACAUGGAAGCGAGGCUGUUCGGCGCCUGUUUCUCCGUCAUUUAAUAUUUAUGCCUGUUUUUGAGCAAUUUGUUGAAGUUCGGGAUUUUGUAGAAAGCCGGGAAUAAAACGAUUAAAA